Molecule: long non-coding RNA, 2624 nt
Organism: Canis lupus familiaris (dog)
Lineage: Eukaryota; Metazoa; Chordata; Mammalia; Carnivora; Canidae
Exons: 7
Source: RefSeq, a predicted model, not a curated record
GCGGGGCCGUCGGUCCCUCCUCGGUGCGCGCGGCCGCGUCGCCAGCCUCUCGGGGGCGGUGCUUAGGGGUCGAGGCGCCGGAGCGCCUGCCGGGCCCGGUCGGAAGAGCCUCGGACUCUUGAUCUCGGGCUACGAGUUCGAGCCCCUGUUGGGUGUAGAGAUUACAGUGAGUCAGAUGCUGACAGACUCCUAGCAUCUCUCAUCGUCUUCCUGUUGCCCCUUCCCCUCUGAAGAUCAAAGCUCACCUCAGGAGAACUUCCAGAGAGAAGAAAUAGCCAGCGGAACCCCCGGGCCAGGCAGGAAAACCAAGUAAACAAGUGAUUGACGCACUUGGUAGACAAGCUGGAGGGGCCCCCACGCAGUCUUCUCUCCUGGGGGUUUUACUCUCCCUGAAAUAGGAAUGAUACUUCUUACCCAUAAGUUUUCCUGGAAGACGUACUAAGGAGAAAAGCCACUCCAAUUCAUUUCAUCAACUGGAGUCUGAACCCUGAAGUAACUCUGUCCAAAUGGCAGCUGGAGGGAAGGAAGUUAUGAUGUUCCACAAAGUCAAGGGACACAGAGAAGCUGUGAAGUCAGCCUUUCUCGCACUCUUUAAACUCAGGACCAGUUGCCUUCCUCGCAGCUCGAUCAGGCUGGAGGCAGAGGAGUGAAGAAUUGACCUCUCUGACUGCAGAAGGACCAGUGGCCAGAUCACCCAUCUCCCAGACAGAUGUUCCAGGUAACCUAAGAGAGACAACAAAUACAGGUCAUUUGAAUUGAAUGGAGUGUGAUGUCAACACCCCAAGCAGAGCUGCUCAGCUGGCCAGAACUGCAGGUGAAGGAAUCAAAGAAUGAUGAGGAAGUUUCACAAAACUGCAGCACAGGACUCGAUGUACUUGGAUUCCUUACAUUUCAGCUGGAUUCCCCAAGAGUACAAAAGUGGAAGCUGCCAGGCCCGUCAACAGACUGGGGUGACUUGGCACAGUUAAGUGACUCACCAGGGCCACCGCAGCCCGGGACAAGGUCCCUCAAGAUCAUCUACCCGGCUCUGCUUGAGACUCACCCUUGUGGAAUAAGAUCUGCCUCCUGAUUUGGCUUCUAACCCAGGAAGAGAGACUGAAUAACCACUGGGAGGGGCCAGGACUCUGGUUCAUUCACCCUCCACUCAGGAAACAGUGAAAAACUGGGCCCUCGUCUGUGCUGGGUGUUGCGGUAAGGAUCCAGAGGUGCACAAGCCACUCCCGCUCUCUCGGGGCCCCCAGUCCAGGACAGGGCUUGUGAAACCAGGAGAGAGGCAACGGGAACCGCAUCGAAGCGGCGCUGCUUGCUGAGCUCCUCCCAGGGAAACCAAUGUCCACCGUUAAUGUCACCAGGCCUCUGGAUUCAGCCCGGACAGAGGAAGGGCAUAUCCUGGACACAGUGUGGGGCAAAGAUUGGGGCCGCUUGGCUCAAUGGAGAAACUCUUCUGUGGCUGGAGCACAGGAGGUGGGGUGUGGGGUGCCGGGAAGAGCACUAGGAGCCCCGAGGAGUUUAAAGCAGGAUGGGAAGGGGGUCAGAUUUGAGUCCAGGAUGCUGGACUCACUGCUGGUUGCAGUGAUGGCCAAGUGGAAGAGGCUCUGUAUUAGAGGCAGGGAGACCAGCUGAGGGGCCUCAUUUGCUCAUUCAACAAACAUCUACAGAGCCUCUUUCAGGUGCCAGGCCCCGAGUUGGUGUGUGGAUCCAGGCAAGGGGCUGCAGGGGCCUCGGAGGGAGGCCAGGAUGCAGAGAAGGGGCAGGGAUCUCGGAGGUGUUCUCGCUGCGUUAUGCAAACGCAUCCUGGCAGUUCUCACACUGGCCUCUGCUUCCCGAACCAGUUGUAAAUGAAUUUGGAAGUUGGGGACCUGUUGUUUCAGGGAUGAAGAGCUGAUAUUUCGGGUCUGAGCUCAAAUCUCGGGCCCCACAGAAGAGAGGACCCCAUUCCCGGAGACUCCACCCAGAGCAGCCCAGCCAGCCUCCUCCUCCCUCUACUCUGCCCCAGCUCAAGAAACCUUCAGGGCGGUGGUGCUUGGCUGGCCUCUUCAGUAAGGGGGUGAAACUGUUACCUGCCGUGGAGCUGAGGGCCUCCUCCGGGAUGACACUGGAGGUGGGAGCCCAGCUGGCACACGGAGUUUGCGAGUCUCUAUUUCCGUGCUCCUCUGCCCCUUGGACUACAGACUUUUUAAGGGUAGGAAGGACUGUCUCCUCCAGCAGGCUGGGUUUUCUGAGGGAGUCUCCCCCAUCAGAUCAGGAACUUCUGGAGGGUAAGAAUGAGGAACCGGGACGCAAGUCAGGGCAUCUGUGUUGCUGCCGUUUGCAAAGGUGAGAAAUUCUCCAUUUGCCUCAUUUUCCUCAUUUGUAAAAUGGGAUUGAUUAUAACACCUGUUGUGAGGGUAAAGAUAAGACCUAAAGAUAGAAGAGACAAGAUUAAAAGAGCCUUGAGGGAUAGGGACAGGAUGUCAAUACCAAGGACAGACCUUGACAAAUAGCCAGAAAUGAGGACAAAGGGAGCCUGUCUGUAAGCUCUGUGAGUGCAGGGGGUUUGGUCCAUUUUACACACUGUGGUGUUUAAGAGUCUCAUACAGAACCAGGCAGCCCGGGUGGCAGUGGUUUAGCGCCGCCUUCGGCCC